RNAcentral lists this long non-coding RNA (9331 nucleotides) under Lactuca sativa (garden lettuce). RNAcentral's name for it is "long non-coding RNA (LSAT_LNC001948)". Lineage: Eukaryota; Viridiplantae; Streptophyta; Magnoliopsida; Asterales; Asteraceae. The record is from RNAcentral.
UCUUGAACAAAAUUCUUCAAAAAUGAGUAUUACAAAUGAUCUAUCAAUGGUUAUUUAUAGUCUUACAAGCUAUUACAAAAAGUAAACUAAUUUCAAAAGGAAACUAUCUAUAAAAAAGAAACUACCUACUAAAGGCUUUUUGCAAAAUAAAAUAAAAUCAUUUCCAAAAAUAAAUAAAAAAUUAGAAUCUCCAUCCUUAAGAUAACCAAGCAAAAAACUUCACGUGUAAAGGAUUGAAGUAGUCGUCACAUCCCACUGUUUCACAUCCCACAACAAGUCGCGUCCAAGUAAUCCAUCUCAUCUAAAUACCCCAUUGGAACCGACUACUCCAUUGGAACCCAAACAACUUUCGCAUCCAAGUAUCAUUCCGAGAAUUGCAACCGACAAUAUUUUGAGGUUGUUCGCAAUUGGAUCCAUUGCAAGAAUCACAUCAGAUAACACUCUGAGGUUCGCAUCUAGUCAUACCGAUAAUAAGAGACUACGGUUCAUUAUGAUAGUUCAAAAUUGGUCGUAACCAGUCGCAAUUGUUAGAAAUAUGGUAUAGUGGCACUUGGAAAUCUGGGAAUUGUGAUAAUCACUUUCUAAUCGAAGUAUUUGGGUGGUAUUCCCAAAUCCUCAAUUGGAUAAGACUCAGAUUAAAUCAGAGAAAAAUAAAGAGAAAUGAGAAGAUAUGAUUUCGUGAGUACCAGAAGAAAAAAAAAGACCAAAAAACUGAAUUUAGAUCUUUGUCUGAAAACCACCAAAACGGUCAUAAAACGGGUCAACUGAAUAAAAGUCAAAAUUGAGUCAAUAAUUUAAAAAACCGACUACUCCAUUUUUUAUAUAGUAACAUAACCUAUAUAUAGUAACAUAACCUAUAUAAACGGGUCAGCUCGAUCCCAACCAGGGGCUGUGCCCCUUGGACCCCGCUCUCAAAGACGCUGCCCCCGGACCACCGUUCGUUCAGGGGCUUCGCCCUUAAAUGACAGUGUACUUUGAUACUUGAUCAAACUUAAACAAAUGUGUACUCCACACCUUCUUAUUUGUUUAAUAUUUAUCAAGAUCACUUUUGGUCAACAAAGUAAUCUCAUUACACUUAAAUAACAUUGAUAACAAAUCACCAGCAGCAAUCGCAACUGAUAACAAUCCAAGGACCGCAAACUAGUCAUAUGGACCACAAGUAACUGCAACGACUUCCAAUAUUCACAGCUUUUUACAAGUCCAAUGACUUGCAACCAUUCGCAUUUGAUCGCAACCAGUACUCGUAUCAAUGAUAGACGAUAAAUAUAUAAUCAUGAUGAUAUAUCUAGCCUUUUAAUAUGAUAUUUUAGUUUAUAAUUAUAAUGUUUUCCGCAUUUGUCUUUUUAUGCUAAUAAGAUAUGUCUAUCUUAAUUAUAAAAAGAUUGAUGAUACUAAUUUCGUUUCAUAAGUUUCUAUUUGUUUUAAACUUGCUUUUAUAAACCCUACACAAAUCUUACAAUAAAUAAAUAUAAAAAAUAUCAUUACAUUAUUUAAUUGAACAUCACUUGAAUUUAUUGAAUAUGCUGAAAACCGGUAUUAAGAGACCUUUUAAACCUUGUAUAAACAACAAAUAAAAGCGUAAUGGAUGAAAACAAAUUUUGUUUACUAUAUGAAAAUUGUUUUUUUAUAGGUUUGAAAACCUUCGCCCAAACCAGCUCCACUAGCAAAAUACUCACACCGGUAAAAAAACGGUGGUUUAGUUUCAUUCAAACUGGUUUAAAAAUCAGAGCGGUUCUUGUUUUCAAACUAGUUUCGGAUCAUAAACCGGUUUUUGUGUGCACCUCUAUUUUUUAAUAGAACCAGUUAAGUAUUAACCAAUAAAAGUAUAGAACAGUUAACUUGUUUUUUAAAAAGGCUUCACCCGGUCUUUUUAACUGUGCAACCUUAACAAAAAAUUUCACUAGUCCCUUUAGUUUCCAAAAUGGCAUAAACGAUCGGGCCUUUUAUUUUGUGUAUUGGACCAUAUAUUAUAUUACUAGAGAUUUUAUUAAUUGGAUAUUGGCCAGGCCCAGGACAAGGCUCAAAGCUGUUAAGCAGUUAUGAUGCGUUGAUAAUUAAUUUUUUGGAGUUUUGAAAUUUGCAACAGUAUGGGCCUUGAUAUUGAAAUUUUAAAACUAUUUGUGAUGCAAAUGAGCCCAAAACAACCAAGAUAGUUAUCCGCUUUUCACUAUACUUUUGUGUUUCUUUUUAUUUUAUUUUUCCAUAAUCCCAAGGUUCAGAUUAAAUGGUUAUAGUAUUCAUAUAAGUUUUAAAUGAACGCAAAGUGUUAUUAAAUUUCAAUCUUACGGAGAUUUUAUACAUUCAAGAUUGAAUGCUUCGAAGUUUUUAGUUGAUUAGAGGUUAAACGCGAUUACUUACGAACACAUGUUUGUUUUUCUAAUUAUGUUCAAUCCAAUUUAAGUGGGGUGCUGAUCAAAUCAAUGGGGCUAGGUUGUGUUGGAUUCAGGUUCUAUUUGGUUGAAAAUUUUAAUUAUGUUCAAUCAAUCCAAUUUAAUUGAACAUGUCAAGAUUUUCAACACAACUAACGAGGAGUUGACAUGUUUAUAAUUUUUUCAACCUAAUUUCUUUGACAAACUAUUAGAACAAUUUAAUUUUCCAAAAGAAAAAUCUUAAACCUACUUAAAUAAGUUACAAGCUCAAGCUCGGCUCGUAUAAGAAAAAUCCUAAACUUACUUAAAUAAGUUACAAGCUCAAGUUCAAGCUCAAGUUCAGUACAAGAAAUUGAAUUGAGGCAAAAAAAAAAGCCUGAUGUUGUUUAAUUAUUAAAAUGGAAAAAUUGUAUACAAGGCUCGAGCUCAAGCUCGACUCGAUUCAAUUUUCUUGUACCGAGUUCGGCUCGAGCUCGUAAAGAAUUAUACAAGCUCGACUCGGCUCGUUUUUUGUUUGAUGUGCCUAAAUAAGGUCAAGAUCGGCUCGAGCUCGUUAAGAAACUCAUUUAAUAAUACCCUAAAUCUUUAAUUCCUCAAAUAUGUUUUUAUUUUAAAAUAUAAAAAUAAUAAGAAAUCAUAUUAUAUAAAGGCUCGUUUAGGCCCGCAAGCCUAAUCGAGCAUAGUGACAUAGGCUUGAGCUCGAGCUUGUUUAAUAAAUGAGCUUAAUAUUAAGCUCGUGUUCGGCUCUAACUCGUUUAAAAUCGGUUUCAAGUCGAGCUUUUAAUGAGCCGAUUCCGAGUAGCUCACGAGUAGCUUGACUCGUUUGCACUCGUAGACACCACUCCUUACGACCUUAUAGCAAAUACAUGAUUAUUUGCUUCUUUGUUGAGGUUCGACUUUGUGAAACAACAAAGUGAUAACUAGUUAAUUAUAGCGAAUACAUGAUUAUUUGCCUUUUUGUUGGAUAAUUAGAAUAUUACACAUGUAGAAUAAUUAGAAUAUUACACAAUUAGAUGAAAAAUAUAUAUUACAAAAAUAAUUAUAUAUAAAUAAGUUCACAAUAACUUCAUAAAUUAUACAUAAAUAAGUUCACAAUAAUAUAAUUUAGUAAUUUUGGUUAGAGUAUGUGAUGUAUUUUUGUCUUACCCAACCUUUUUAAAAUAUUACAUAUUUUUUUAAUAACCCAACUUAGCAAUUUGGUUGAGAAGAUGAGUUAUUUUUUGCCUGCUCUAUAUUUUUUUUUAUCUAGGUAUAAAUGGAGUCUUUAAGAGAUGACGAUAAAUGAAAUUGAGUCAAGUGUAGUACUAGAGGUACCAUGACUCCGCCAUAAGACAGGUUCAACUAUGUGAAGGUUAGCUGGCUUCACCAUGCCGCUCAACCCACUCUCCUCACAUUUCUCUUAUUUAUACUUAUAUUAUAUACUUCAUUACUUGCACAUUUCCUUUUGUAUCAUAGUUUAUAAUAUUUUUUUCUUGUUAAAUAUUACAGGUUAAGUGUUUUUUAAUAACUUUAUUAAGUUUUAGCUUUGAAAUCAUCAAGGUUGUAGAACCCGCUACUCGGUAUCUGUUCGGCCGACUGUCGAGUAGCGAGUACUCGGGAGUACCUGUUUGGCCGACUGUCGAGUAACGAGUACUCGAAAGUACUCAAGAGUAUUCGGGGAGUACUCAGAUUCGGUAAUUCAUGUAGAAAUAUUUUUAGGGAAAUUAUAUAUGUCAAAAUCUUAAGUUAAAGUCGUAAUUUAAUUGAAAUAUAUAACAAAAUUAGAUACAUGUGAAUACACAAAAACUGAAAAACAUACAAUGGCCUCACAAUAAUUACUAAAACUUUAAGAUAUAUAUGUAGUAUUAAUCACAUAUGAGUGUGUUAAAUAAUAAAUCAUUAAGUAUAUUAUACAUAUUAAUCAUUGAGUUGACCGAGUUUUACAUUACUGGUCCUUUCUGUAAGGGGCCAAUAGGGGAGUACUUGGAUUUUGUAACUCGCAUCGGUAAGGGACCGAGUAAGGAGUACUUGACCGAGUAGUUGGUCAACUCGACGAGUUUUACAACACUGAAAAUCAUGUAAUGCUAAUAUUUGGCUCAUUGAAUAGGUAUGUUAAUAUAUCUUUCUCAACCAUACCAUUACUUUUCAUUUAGUUGUUAAUAUGAAUUCUUGAAUAAUAGGACUUUUGGUAGGGUAAAUAUGAAAUCUAGUCAUCGCUAGGUAAGUAACAUUCUAAAUCACUUGUUUGGUGACUGAUUUAAGAAAUUUGGUAUGUGCAAGGGGUUAAAAUGCAUAUUCAUAAACUUAUUUUUGAAACAAAUUUGUUAUAUUAGAGGAUUUUGUGUUGUAUUGACUUAUAUAACCCACGAAAAAAUAUGUAGAAUACUAGAAGUCAACAGAAAACAACAGUCAAAUAUUAAAGUUUAAUAUUUGGUGGUCAAAUUUUAAUAAACGAGACUUGUGUUUAAAUAGAAUAAGAAGUUGAGUAAAAUACAAAAAUGGUCCAUGUGGUUGGUUGAUUUUUUAAAUAAAUCUUGGUUUUUCAAUUGUAACUUUGAUUGUCAUCAUGGUUUAAUUUGGUAUGGUUUGCGUCUAUAUCUUAUGUUUUUCAAUUAUAUCUUUUACUUUAAAUCUGUAAAAUAAACAUCUCUCCCCGUAAGACUAGCCUAUCAUCAUCAUCAUCUAUUUCUCACAAACUCUCUGCCUCUCUCUCUCUCACACACACACACACACACUAGUUACAUCACCAUUAUCGUCGAUCACCUCUGUCCAAUGCAACAAUCUCAUUUCCUCUCCUUUGUUUCUCAUACCCAUACUUGCUUGUCGCUUCGUCUAGCUGCUCUCAUAAUCUCUCAUCAACGUCUCUUACCAACGCCACCUUUCUUUCCUUUGUGGUCCCAACAUCAAUUUGAUGAUUUUGAGUUGUAUAAACAAGCCCAAAAUUUCACAAUCUAUGAUGGAUGUUUAACAUCUACUUCGGUAACCAUUUUUUCGAUAACUCAUUUAAUGUACGUAUGAGAUAAAAUCGAAUGAGGUAUCAACUACACGAUCCUUACUAGGGAUGUGUUUGGUUCCGAAACAGGCCUGGAACCAAAAUAACAAAAAACAGAAUUCACCAAAGCAUAGAAUUGAUAAAUUGAGCGAUCUUAGGGACAUGUUUCAGUUUAGGUCUUAGCUGGUUAUUUCGGGUAUAAAAUCGGGAAUAACCAAAAUGCAUGGAUUGUAUGCUUUGGAACCGAAAAUAACCGAUAUAGGUAUUGGAACUAAAAAACAAAAACCAUGGAGAUGUUUGGUACAAAAAUGUUUAAAGGGGUUGUUUGGUACUUAUAUCUAAAUGUAGGGAGUUGUUUGGCUAAAUGUAUCAAUGUGAAUGAAGUGAGGUGCAUGGCAUGACAUUCUCGAGGAAUCAAACACAUACCACAGAGGACAAUCAAGAGAGAGAGAGAGAGAGAGAGAGAGAGUUGGUAUGGGAUGACUUGUAAUUGGUGAGUGAGCGCCGAAUCAGGUUAGGGUAAUUGGGAAAGAAGUUGGUUGUGAUGCGUAGGGAUGAGAAUUUGGUCCGGAAAUCCGAACCGAAUUAGGCCGAAAUAAGCAAUUCAAUUCAGUUAGUUCUCAGGUAUCUAUGUUAGGCUUAUUUGGUUUUCGGGUUAUUCGGUCCGAGUUACCCAAAUAAGGGUUUAUUCGAUUCUAAAUACCCGACCCGAAAUUGAAAAAUCAUUUUUUUAAUCAUAUUUUUCUUGCUACACCGAAUGACCUACAUUCAAUCGAUUCGAUCGUGUUUUUCCUUGUCCCUCCUUCUGUGAUUGAGUCGUAUGUUGCUUCAUAACUAUAUCUCAAGAUUUUGGUGUUUGUAUUUUACAUUUUUAUAUCUCAAGAAUAGUUAAUUCGUGUUUACAUUCUUACUACACAAAUUCUAACAUUUUUUUACACAUUUGAAACAAUUAUGUAUAUUUUGCAUUAUUUUUAAUUAACAAAUUUGUUUCUUUAAAAGAUUUGUUAUGGAAUCAUAAGCUAAAAAAAUCAUUAAAAAUACAAUGUUUAUAAUAAUAUUGUAAAUGUUAUUCGGGUUAUAGAAACCUAAUACGGUUUAUUCGGUAUUUUUCGGUUAUAUUAGGUCGUUAAUCAUCUUGUAUAUGUUAUCGGGGUAAUAACUGAACCAAAUCGAUUAAUACCCGAACCGAAUCGAACCCAUAUUGGUUAUUUGGUCUGGUUUUCAGUUCAUGCAAUUACCCUUACUCGGGUUUUUGGUUAUUUAAAUCCGGAUCAGUUCGGUCUAGUCCCGACCCGAAUAACAUCCCUAGUGGUGCGAAAGACGUGGUGGUGAUAGAAAAUGGGGCCAUUAAGUUUUAAAAUUACAAUUACAAUAUCAAAUAAUGGAAAAUAAAGUUAAGGACAAAGUAGUCAUUUUAGAUUUCAUUAGACCAAAACAAAAAUAAAAUAGAUCCGGAGGACAAUCAAGUGUUAUAACUUAUAACUGGAAAAACAGAAUCGGUUAAAAAAAUUCAUUAAAAUGUAGGGUAAAUAGCACAAAAAAACACUCUUUUUACACAGAAAUUCGAUUUUGACAUCGUGUUUUUUUUUUGUCAAUUUUGACACCGUGUUUUCUAAUUUGUUACAAUUCUGACCACUUGACCAGUUAACCAGGUUAUAUGCUGACGUGGCAUGAUAACGUGUCAGUUUUGAUGACGUGGCAUGCUGACAUGAUAUACUGACGUCUCAAAAUUGAAUUUUUUUUCCACAAAAAACACUAAGUUUUCACUUUUUUUCGAUUUUGACACUAUGUUUUUUUUGUUCCAAUCGAACAUCAUUUAUCAAAUUUUGUCUAUUUUCCAUUUGAAAGCGUAUAAAUAUAUAUAUUUUUUAUUACAUUUUAAACCGUAUAAACAUAUUUUUUUCUUUUAAAAACCACAUUUUUAUUUAAAUACAAGGUGUUUUUUUUUUACAUUCAAAGCAUUAGUUAUAUCAUGAGAAUCAAACUUACCAUAAGCUUCUAAUAAGAUGUAAAAAUUUGAUGGAUUGCAAACUUGAUAUCCGAGUUUUGAUCGACUACACGCCUCCAAACCUCCAAACACAUUUUAAAGUUGCAUAUUUAAUAUAAAAUACAAUUUUUAUAUAACUAAUACAUAUUUAUACAUAAAUGAAAAAAAACAUAUUUAUACGGUUUAAAUGUAUUAAAAAAAUAUUUAUACGGUUUCAAAUAAAAAAUUGUCAACAUUGAACAAAAUUGGAAAAAAUGAUGUUCGAUUUGGAACAAAAAAACAUAGUGUCAAAGUUGAAAGAAAAAAUUAAACUUAGUGUCAAAAUCGAAAAAAAUGAAAACCUAGUAUUUUUUGUGAGAAAAAAAUUCAAUUUUGACACGUCAGCAUAUCAUAUCAGCAUGCCACGUCAGCAUAUAACCUGGUUAACCGGUCAAGAGGUCAGAAUUAUAACAAAUUGAAAAACACAGUGUCAAAAUUGACACAAAAAAAAACACGGUGUCAAAAUCGAAUUUCUAUGUAAAAAAAAUGUUUUUUGUGCCAUUUACCCUAAAAUGUAAGGACAAUAUUGUAAUUUACUCUAUUUUAUUUUAAUAUGUACUAACUCAUAUUCUUCACCUAGCGAUGAACAUGGGGCGCAACCGAAACCGAAUCGGUACCGACCCAAGAAUUCCGAAUACAAAAAUGGAUGGAAACUCAGUACCGAGCAGGCGAGCAUAGAACCGAAUUAGGAGUAUUGUGGUAUCGGUCAUGGUACCGAUUUUCAGUACUAGAACCAAAUCGGAGGGGAGAAAAUGUCAACUUUCUCUUAAGGGGCAAAUCUGCCCACUGUCGAAAAUUUUAGUUUUUAUGCUAUCAUCUACAUCAUAAUGUUCGAUUCUUUAUCCUUCUGCUAUUUACAGCCCCAUAUUAAUAUCUAUAAUUUGUAAUUGUGGCUGAGAUAUAUAUGAAGUCAAGUUUGUUGUUAUCUUCAAGUUUAGACAUUACAUUUCAAGUGUAGACAUUACCCAAUUAUGUUGGUUACAAAGUACUGUUUACACUUUGGCCACCCUUACCAAUGGCAUUAUGGCAACCUAGUUUCAUAAAUAGUAAUGUAUUUUUAUAUGCGUAAGUGUGUAAGAUUCAUAAAUAUUAUAGUAUGUUAUCACUGUUAGCAUUCAUCAAUUAAUCAAUAUCAUUUCAUAAUCUCAUAAUCACAUUAUGACAUCUUACACAUGUCAAAAUAUUUAAGCAUAAAAUCAUAAAAUUGCUAGAUGUUACAUACAGUAACAUUAUUCGUACUCAAUUUGUCCAUAUUCAUUUUAUUUGUGAAUAUACCUUAACAAACCCUUGGUAGCAGUUACGAAUAACAAGAUUUAUAGUUGUUUCCGUUGAAAUGCUUUACAUGUUUUCUCUUGUUAAUAAUCAAUUUCGACUAGUUUUUUGUUAAUUUACCAGGUGCAAAACAACAUCAUGGCCUGAUGAUUUGUUAUCGCUAUGAAGUUUGAUUAAGUUUAUCUUUCAGAUGAACAAUUGAAUUUGAAAAACUGAAUCAAAGUGUCAGUUUGAUUUGUUGGCAAAAUGAAAUGAAAGUUUGAAGAUCUGUUGCUUUUGUAUAAAAUUCCGAUAAAAAAUCGACAUCCCUUUAAAGAGUUUGCUUCAUCAAAUAGAACCAAUCCAUAUACACGAACUUGAGAUCUAAAUUUUGUUUAUGAAAUUAUUUUUCAAUAAUGGAGGGAAUCGUACCUUCAAUCACAUGCGAAAACCCUGGUUUCUAGCUUCAAACUUGGAUAGAAACUUGCUUCACCUCAUUUUGUUGUCAAUCUCAAGUUUCAAUUUUUUCAUGAAAUUAUUUCAUUAAUGGAGAGGAAUCUAAAGUUUAUUGUCAUAGAUUCGGUUAUCACUUUCUGUUUUCAAAAUUGAUCAUAUCUCUGAAUCAUGGUUUUAGGAUUCGUUAUAAAAAGUUCUAGCAUUAUUUGAAAGAGAAUAUACAUACAAUGCGGACCACAAUGGACUGUAAGAUUGAAU